Long non-coding RNA from Mauremys reevesii (Reeves's turtle), 750 nucleotides. RefSeq lists it as uncharacterized. The transcript has 4 exons. NCBI's taxonomy places the organism in Eukaryota, Metazoa, Chordata, Testudines, Geoemydidae. The record is from RefSeq and is a predicted model, not a curated record.
UUCUCAUAAGUCUAUCUGCCAUGGAGACCUAGUGGAAGGACUUCUGGGUGGAGCUGGUUGAUACUAUCUUGUUUAGACUCUUCUGUCCACAUUUUCAGCAGAAGCAGAGAAAAUCUGGCCUUUGAUCCAGACUAAGACGGCUGCCCCUCUGACACUUGAAGAAUGUGUGAAUUGAAGCUGCUGCUAGAGUGGAAGACAGCCCCCAGUAAUGCUAUACAAAAACUUAAGGAAAGGUUCCUGGCACCUGGCAGAGUCGCCUCUCUCUGGGUACUGCUGAGAUUUCCCUGCCGCAGAAGACUUGUCGAGGAGGCCCACAAAAAUGCUUCCCAAGAGUUACACGUGGGUCAAAGUGUGGUUCAGCUUUUCUCCCCGACCACGAGGGCUAGAAAUUAAAAGAAGAAGAAGAAAUCUGAGACUCUCAGCACUCCAGGAGUUGGGGCUUUCAGAGAAACACCAAAUAUGGUAGGACUCAGGUGCUGGCAACAUUGACUCCAACUGCUUACUCUUGUUUAUUCCCCUCAGUAUGGUUGUAGGGCAUGUAUGGCUGGAACGCAUUCUUGCCCAUGGUCCCUUCCACCUAAGCCCAAAGUUCUUGUGUGUGGUUGCACAAAGUACUAGGAGAGAGCAAUCCUGCAUUGACCACAAGAUUGGUGGGCGAAAACACUGAUUGGUGGACCUAGCAUGGCUUUUCCAAUUCUGAUUUCUGAGAGAGUUUAUGAAGAGCUACCUUGGCUCAUGGAUGUAGCUGAC